GAUGAACGCUGGCGGCGUGCCUAAUACAUGCAAGUCGAGCGAACAGACGAGGAGCUUGCUCCUCUGACGUUAGCGGCGGACGGGUGAGUAACACGUGGAUAACCUACCUAUAAGACUGGGAUAACUUCGGGAAACCGGAGCUAAUACCGGAUAAUAUAUUGAACCGCAUGGUUCAAUAGUGAAAGACGGUUUUGCUGUCACUUAUAGAUGGAUCCGCGCCGCAUGAGCUAGUUGGUAAGGUAACGGCUUACCAAGGCAACGAUGCGUAGCCGACCUGAGAGGGUGAUCGGCCACACUGGAACGGAGACACGGUCCAGACUCCUACGGGAGGCAGCAGUAGGGAAUCUUCCGCAAUGGGCGAAAGCUUUACGGAGCAACGCCACGUGAGUGAUGAAGGUCUUCGGAUCGUAAAACUCUGUUAUUAGGGAAGAACAAAUGUGUAAGUAACUAUGCACGUCUUGACGGUACCUAAUCAGAAAGCCACGGCUAACUACGUG
RNAcentral lists this ribosomal RNA (497 nucleotides) under uncultured bacterium. RNAcentral describes it as "partial 16S ribosomal RNA". It matches the Rfam family "Bacterial small subunit ribosomal RNA", at positions 28 to 507 of the family's 1533-position model. The record is from RNAcentral.